CAGCGGUCCGGCCGGGAACUCAAAGGAGACUGCCAGUGAUAAACUGGAGGAAGGUGGGGAUGACGUCAAGUCAUCAUGGCCCUUACGACCAGGGCUACACACGUGCUACAAUGGCAUAUACAAAGAGAAGCGACCUCGCGAGAGCAAGCGGACCUCAUAAAGUAUGUCGUAGUCCGGAUUGGAGUCUGCAACUCGACUCCAUGAAGUCGGAAUCGCUAGUAAUCGUAGAUCAGAAUGCUACGGUGAAUACGUUCCCGGGCCUUGUACACACCGCCCGUCACACCAUGGGAGUGGGUUGCAAAAGAAGUAGGUAGCUUAACCUUCGGGAGGGCGCUUACCACUUUGUGAUUCAUGACUGGGGUGAAGUCGUAACAAGGUAACCGUAGGGGAACCUGCGGUUGGAUCACCUCCUUACCUUAAAGAA
RNAcentral lists this ribosomal RNA (424 nucleotides) under Klebsiella pneumoniae. RNAcentral describes it as "bacterial SSU rRNA". It matches the Rfam family "Bacterial small subunit ribosomal RNA", at positions 1119 to 1533 of the family's 1533-position model. The record is from RNAcentral. Lineage: Bacteria; Pseudomonadati; Pseudomonadota; Gammaproteobacteria; Enterobacterales; Enterobacteriaceae.